CCUCCUUUUAAAGCCAAGCGCGACCAUUACAACCGUUUACAGUGACUGACUCAGUCACGUCGCUAACGCGGGCAGUUUUAUCGAGUUUGUUUAGCGAGUGUUAAACUUCGAUAAGACAGUCUCUUACAUUCCUUAUUAAGACAGCGCCGCCUGCCGGAUGACGCUUUCAGCUCCCAAAAAAGGAGGAUUUUCAGCUGCGUAGUUAACUUAGCUAAGUAGCUGACUGGGUCGAGUGGAGUGGCGACUGCAACGGUCAGAAUCUGCUUGUAAAAGGUGUUUCUCAUCAGAAAUCAUUUGAAGCUGAGCAACUGGAACAUCCUCUCUUUGGGCCUCAUCCAGUAUGGUGGCAGUCCAUAUCAUUCUCAACACUCAACUGUGCUCUUACCCAAGUGGCCUCAUCUUGAUGCUUCUUUCAUUACACUGAACAUCAUUGUCUGAACAUCAGCUAUGCGUGUGAGCUGGGUGCCAUGCUGGAGUUCAUGCAUAGGUAUUAUUUAAAGCCUUGUCACAUUUCUUUGUGUACUAAAUGCCUGAGAUGAUUUUAGAUGAGUAAAAUUAUGUAUACUGUACAUUAUA
This is a long non-coding RNA of Colossoma macropomum (tambaqui), 576 nucleotides long. RefSeq lists it as uncharacterized. The transcript has 3 exons. Lineage: Eukaryota; Metazoa; Chordata; Actinopteri; Characiformes; Serrasalmidae. The record is from RefSeq and is a predicted model, not a curated record.